GAGAGCUUGCCAACCAACCAGGCCUGGAAAAGCUAAGGAGCUGGAGGAGGCAGGCGGUGUUGGGAGCACUCCUUCAGCAAGAUGCUCCUACCUGUCCGGACGCAGUCCAAGAAUGGAGUCGUGUGAGAAUUCUGAGGGCUUGUGAGAGAACUCUAAAGGCAAGAGGCUGUGAUCUCCAGUUUCUUCGAAACAUGGAAUUGUUUCUGAAACCUGCCUUCACGCUGCUCUCCCAGGUGCAGCUGACAGGCUUGGGCUUACUUUAGCUGUUGUUUCCAAAUGAACUCCACGGAAAACAUGUUUUGGCACGUGUGGCUUG
Microtus oregoni (creeping vole) is the source of this 316-nucleotide long non-coding RNA. RefSeq lists it as uncharacterized. The transcript is spliced from 3 exons. Lineage: Eukaryota; Metazoa; Chordata; Mammalia; Rodentia; Cricetidae. The record is from RefSeq and is a predicted model, not a curated record.